RNAcentral lists this long non-coding RNA (855 nucleotides) under Triticum aestivum (bread wheat). RNAcentral describes it as "long non-coding RNA (TAES_LNC028490)". Lineage: Eukaryota; Viridiplantae; Streptophyta; Magnoliopsida; Poales; Poaceae. The record is from RNAcentral.
CACUGUCAGACCAGCCUACCAGGCAGAUAGUAAGAGCAGCAGCACACAGGAACUUGUUAAUCCAGAGGAUGUUAUCCAUUGGCAUAUUUGCACACAAAGUAGUUAUCUGAAGCUCACGAUGGCAAAAUGGACAACAAAUGCAGCAGUUUCCAUCACAAGAAAACAACACAUUGGAUUAGUAAUGAGCAUACAUCACUGGAUAAGUAAUAUAUAUGGUUCAUUAUGUACACAGUUCCUUCAAUACAAACAAAAUCCCAUAUAGCAUCAGCAUUAGCUGACUAAAAUCAUAGGCAUCAUCUCUGUUGCAAACAGUUUUUAUUUUGCGAAAAGAUCAAGUGUAGUAUCAUGUUCCUAAAUAUACAUAAAAGCAAAAGGACUGAGGGCAGUAAUGUAUCAGUUCUCAUCUGCCACAUAAAUUCAGUAAAAAGAAUUGUAGGCAUCAACAUCGUAUCUAAAAUCCAGCAUGGAAAUAUGUAAUGAAAUGCACCCGUUUCUAUCACGGGAAAAUGCAAACAAGAUGCACCAUGGACAAAGAUAAUACCCCUCUCUUUUAGUGGGGCAAAGUACUGUAAUUGACCGUUUGCCGGUACAAACUGUUAUCUUCCAUUUGCUUAGCAUUGAAUUUCAACACAAUUUAGGGAUUGUAACUACAGAGUAAGAGUUUAUGUUACUAUGGUAGCAUGACUAACUCACGAUAUGUUCCCUCUUACGGAUACAGAACCAAAUUGUAGAGCUCACCUAAUUGUCCAAAUAGGUGAGGCGAUGGUAAGAAAUUUUUCCAUAAACAAAAUAUUGGACAGGAGCAUGGCAGGAGGAGGCGUCCCUUGGCAACACGGACGGGAGCACACACAGCGG